RNAcentral lists this ribosomal RNA (253 nucleotides) under uncultured bacterium. Its description in RNAcentral is "partial 16S ribosomal RNA". It matches the Rfam family "Bacterial small subunit ribosomal RNA", at positions 524 to 776 of the family's 1533-position model. The record is from RNAcentral.
UACGUAGGGACCGAGCGUUGUCCGGAAUCAUUGGGCGUAAAGAGCGUGUAGGCGGCCUUUUAAGUCCUGCGUGAAAUCCUGCGGCUCAACCGCAGACGGUCGUGGGAAACUGGAAGGCUAGAGUGCGGGAGAGGAGAGUGGAAUUCCCGGUGUAGCGGUGAAAUGCGUAGAGAUCGGGAGGAACACCAGAGGCGAAGGCGGCGACCUGGACAAGUACUGACACUCAACUACGAAAGCGUGGGGAGCAAACAGG